Molecule: transfer RNA, 73 nt
Filed under: Acidobacteria bacterium RBG_16_68_9
Lineage: Bacteria; Pseudomonadati; Acidobacteriota
Also listed under: 1 other name
Description: tRNA-Thr
Rfam family: tRNA
About the family: Transfer RNA (tRNA) molecules are approximately 80 nucleotides in length. Their secondary structure includes four short double-helical elements and three loops (D, anti-codon, and T loops).
Source: RNAcentral
GCCGAUGUAGCUCAAGAGGAAGAGCGACUGACUUGUAAUCAGUAGGUUGCCAGUUCGAUUCUGGCCAUCGGCU